UUUUGUCAUUGAUUCAAAAUAGGAAAAUAUUAAUUCUGUUUUGGCUGGAACUGUUCAAUGCAAAUAAAAUUGAUUGUGGGUCGCCUGCCUGCAUCAAUAAGCAUCAGGUAUAGUUUUUUUUAGUUAUUCAGCUAUUGAGUUAUAAUUUGAUUAAGUGAGUAAUUGAUUAAUGAUACUGCUGUGAAUGGUGAAUUGAGGUGAGAAAUAUGGUGAGUUUAUUCAUUGUUCCUUAUUUUUUUUUCCUGUUUUCUCUGCAUAGUUAUAUCUUUUUUUCUUGAUCCUUGUAAAUUAAUCAUUAUAUGUUUUAGGAUGCUGCUACUCUAAAUUAUUGGAAGCUGGUCAUCACUGUUUGAAAAGAAUAAUGCAUCACAAUUGCCCUGUUUGCUUUGAGCUGAGUACAUUCUCGGUGGCAGCAGACUUGGAAACAAAUUCCGCGGCUUGUCUAAGAUCCAAGUCCUUAGGAGUUCCUCAUCAGAUAAAGAGAGAGCAAACAAUGUUGCUAAGAUCAAAGUUGUGAUAUGCUUUGUGUUGCAUGUUUCUCUUCUAUGCUUCUUGUAGUUUGCAUUAUGUCUGAUGCUAAUCAAUGUUCUUUUAGUUACUUUAGCAGUUACAUGUUGAUUGAGAAUGCUACUUGCUACAUCAGGUUCUUAGUCGGUAAUGGCUUGGCUAGUGUCAACAUGUAUAGAUUUUAAACUUUGAAGUUUUUGCGUGUGCAAACAAUGAAUUAAUUGAUUCUAAUUUGGAUUUGAAUUUCGUUUGGUGUA
Molecule: non-coding RNA, 764 nt
Organism: Arachis ipaensis
Lineage: Eukaryota; Viridiplantae; Streptophyta; Magnoliopsida; Fabales; Fabaceae
Source: RefSeq, a predicted model, not a curated record